RNAcentral lists this ribosomal RNA (480 nucleotides) under uncultured bacterium. RNAcentral's name for it is "bacterial SSU rRNA". It matches the Rfam family "Bacterial small subunit ribosomal RNA", at positions 110 to 578 of the family's 1533-position model. The record is from RNAcentral.
GUAACACGUGGGUAACCUGCCGUUGGAAUGGGGAUAACGCCUGGAAACGGGUGCUAAUCCCGAAUGGUUUCCUUUGCCGCAUGGCAGAGGAAGGAAAGGCGCUACGGCGCCGUCCAACGAGGGGCCCGCGGCGCAUCAGCUAGUUGGUGGGGUAAUGGCCUACCAAGGCCGCGAUGCGUAGCCGACCUGAGAGGGUGACCGGCCACACUGGGACUGAGACACGGCCCAGACUCCUACGGGAGGCAGCAGUAGGGAAUCUUCCGCAAUGGGCGAAAGCCUGACGGAGCAACGCCGCGUGAGUGACGACGAUCUUCUGAUUGUAAAGCUCUGUCAAUUGGGACGAGUGACGGCGAGAGGGAAUGUUCGCCGUGAGACGGUACCGAUGGAGGAAGCCCCGGCUAACUACGUGCCAGCAGCCGCGGUAAUACGUAGGGGGCACGCGUUGUCCGGAAUGACUGGGCGUAAAGCGCGCGCAGGCGG